RNA transcript from Hemibagrus wyckioides, 2239 nucleotides. It is a transcript of the gene named ETS variant transcription factor 6, with no coding region annotated. The record is from RefSeq and is a predicted model, not a curated record. Lineage: Eukaryota; Metazoa; Chordata; Actinopteri; Siluriformes; Bagridae. The transcript is spliced from 9 exons.
CCACUAUAACACACACACACACACACACAUACACACAUACACACACACAUAUAGACACACAAACCAAAAUCAAUGAGGCUCGGACGGCCAACUCUUCCAGGAAGGUAUUAACCAUCACCUAGCCAACAUGUAGUGCCUGAACCGCUGCCGGGGAAAAGAAUUAUAAAUAGAAAGAUAAAAAGUUACAGGGAUAUAUCUCGUCGAGAGCGAUGGGUUUAUAGAGCGUCGGCUGUUCCUCUAUUCAAAACAACAAAGUCGGAUGCUCGCAUUUCCGCUUGGUUUGCUUCACGGAAAAACAAGGGGGAAGGAAAAGUGGAAACGGGAGAACUUCCUGAAUUCGACCGAGACAUGUCCGACUCCCCUUUACAACUCAACAUUAAGCAGGAGAGGAGCGCAUUCAGUCCCUCUGCCAGUCCGCUGCCAAAUUCCACUUCCUCUCCAGGCCAUGGCGCUCCGCCUCUGACUAAUGCCAAGACAGAGGAAGAGCCGGCCAGACUGCCUGGACACCUGCGUCUGCAGCCCGUGUUCUGGAGCAGAGAGGAUGUAGUUCAGUGGCUGCGCUGGGCCGAGCGAGAGUUCGCUCUCCGACCCAUCUCCAGCGGAAGUUUCCAGAUGAACGGUAAAGCCCUCCUGCUGCUCACCAAGGAGGACUUCCGCUACCGUUCACCCCACUCAGGAGAUGUGCUUUACGAGCUCUUGCAACAUAUCCUGAAGCAGAGGAAGCCCCACUCAUCCUUCCCCAACAUGUAUUACCCUGGAAAUUCCUUUCACUCUCUGCCUGAAGCAGCACUGCAACACCACAAACUUGAGGAAACGGUACUAAGAACCCCACAAAACAGAGAGAGCCACCCUCUCCAGCCUCCCACCAUCGAGCUCCGUCAUCGCUCACGCUCUCCUCGCCGUUCGCCCGCCAGUGCCGCAAAUGUCCACCUUGCCUCAGCUGAGGACAUCCAGCCAGUGCCGUCCCAGCUGCCUGACAGCAACAACCACCUCCCCGAGGACCUGUAUCCACUGUCCGUGUCACCCUCAGCCCCGAACGGCCACCACGCUCAGCGUACAGCCAGCCCGUGUCAGGAGGAGGUUGCGCCUCCUCGGGUCAUCCAGCUGAUGCCCAGUGCCAUCAUGCACCCGCUGCUGCUCAGUCCCGGGCGAGGAGGCAUGCCUGGCGAGUUCAGACAAGGCCGGACCCCAGCCCAAGAGAACGGGCGUGAGGGGAAGGGCCAUCAUCAUCAUAAUCACCACCACCAUAAUCAUCACCAUGCUACUCACCAUGUACUGAGCCUGGCAGCGCAGCAGCAGUCACACCAACAGGAUGAUGUGCGCUAUAGGAACCAGAUCCUCAUGCCUGUGUCACCGCCUGAGGAGCAGGGUGUGCCUAUUGGACGCAUUGCUGAUUGCAGACUGCUGUGGGACUACGUGUAUCAGCUCCUGUCAGACAGCCGCUACGAGAAUUACAUCCGCUGGGAGGACCGCGACGCCAAAGUGUUCAGAAUCAUUGACCCCAAUGGCCUGGCUAGACUGUGGGGAAACCAUAAGAACAGGACCAACAUGACAUAUGAGAAAAUGUCAAGAGCACUAAGACACUAUUACAAGCUGAACAUCAUCAGGAAAGAGCCAGGCCAGAGGCUGCUGUUCAGCAGAAUAGUAUAUAGAUGGUGAGCAUCAGUUCUGCAGGCGGAAGCACCUUGUUGAUGGAGUUUAGAAGAGAAUGGUUGACUAGUACGAAAGGUUCAUGAAGACCCCAGACGAGAUCAUGAGUGGACAGACGGACCGCCUGGAACAUCUCGAGUCCGACACGGAUGAUCAGAUCUACAUUAAAGAGGAGUGCUGAGCGCUUUCCACACACUGAGACGAACUUUUAAAGCCAGAGAUGCCUCGCCAAUGUUCUGCUGUGUUCAGUAUCUCCCCCCCCCCUUCCCGAGCAGACCUGGACGUUGCUUAGAAUAAAAUGGGAGCCAACUUAAGGAGAUGACGUCGUUUUCUGCACUGUUUUCUACGCUGAAUCUUAAUAAUCAUAUCCUUAAUUUUCUGCUUCAGAAGAGUAAACUUCAGUAUGACAAUCAUUUAAAUGAAUGAUAAGUACUCCUUCAAAUCGCCUCUUUCAAAUUCCUGGCACAAAUGAAUGAUUUCAUACUUUUCAGUGAGGACUUUUUUUUAGUGUGUGUUGUACAAACACAAACCAGUUCGUGUACACGAGUUAUACAAGAGAUUAAUUCAAGAAUAAAUUUUAAUGAGUGAC